CCCUUGUUUUACAAAAACAUGUCCUUAUGUCAUUUUGUAUAAGGUCCGGCCUGCCCAAUGAAAUAUAUUUAAUGGCCGCAGUAUUUUGACUGUGCAAAGGUAGCAUAAUCAUUUGUCUUUUAAUUGAAGGCUUGUAUGAAAGGUUAGAUGAGAAGAUAACUUUCUUUAUACUAAAUACUUAAUUUAAUUUUUCAGUUAAAAAGCUGAGAUUUUUUAAUGGGACGAGAAGACCCUAUAGAAUUUUAUUAAAGUUUGUUUAUUUAAUUUAUGGUUAAUUGUUUUUUUAUAUAGGCUUUAAUUUUGUUGGGGCGACAGGAAGAUUAAAUUAACUCUUUUAUUAUAUUUAUUACAGAUUAGUAAGAUUAGGAUCCCAUAUUAUGGAUUAUUAGAUUAAAUUACCUUAGGGAUAACAGCGUAAUUUCUUUGGAGAGUUCUUAUUGAUAAAGAAGUUUGCGACCUCGAUGUUGGAUUAAAAUUAGUUUUAAGUGCAGAAGCUUAUAAUUAUAGGUCUGUUCGACCUUUAAAUUUUUACAUGAUCUAGUUUCAACCGGG
This 552-nucleotide ribosomal RNA is filed under the name Antiteuchus macraspis. Its description in RNAcentral is "partial large subunit ribosomal RNA". It matches the Rfam family "Bacterial large subunit ribosomal RNA", at positions 1797 to 2620 of the family's 2925-position model. Lineage: Eukaryota; Metazoa; Arthropoda; Insecta; Hemiptera; Pentatomidae. The record is from RNAcentral.